Molecule: ribosomal RNA, 406 nt
Filed under: uncultured bacterium
Lineage: Bacteria
Description: partial 16S ribosomal RNA
Rfam family: Bacterial small subunit ribosomal RNA
Source: RNAcentral
AUUGAACGCUAGCGGCAUGCUUAACACAUGCAAGUCGAACGAGUGGCGGACGGGUGAGUAAUAUAUGGGAAUCUGCCCAAUGGAGGGGGAUAACUACGGGAAACUGUAGCUAAUACCGCGUACCAUAGGAUGAGCCCAUAUGGGAUUAGGUAGUUGGUGGGGUAAAGGCUCACCAAGCCGACGAUCCGUAGCUGGUCUGCGAGGAUGACCAGCCACACUGGGACUGAGACACGGCCCAGACUCCUACGGGAGGCAGCAGUGGGGAAUAUUGGGCAAUGGGGGCAACCCUGACGCAGCCAUGCCGCGUGAAUGAAGAAGGCCUUCGGGUUGUAAAGUACUUUUGGUAGAGAGGCGGUAUCUGCAGAAGAAGCACCGGCUAACUACGUGCCAGCAGCCGCGGUAAUAC